CCACGGAAGAAAAUUCUCUCUGAUCUUGAUACGAAUAGAACAGGAGGAUAACAAUGAUUCCCAGGGGCUGAAAACACAGGCCUCAGUGUCUUGUAUGGAAAGGCAAGAGGAGCAGUAACUGGGAGCAAAGGUUUCCCAGUUCUGGGUUUCACUGCUCAUUUCUCUCCUCACCGGCUAUAUGGCAGUUAGAUACUUCUGGGAUCCCCUUGCUGAGGAGCUUGCCAUAAAUGAGGACAAACUGAAGACUCACCCUCUAGUGUAUGUCUUCAUCCUUGGCAAUCUUGAGAGUGAGGAUUCCCCCCAUUUGCUAUCUGCCACUGGGCAGCACUCAUCUGAUGACUGCACUAAGCAAAAAGGGAAGGAACUAAUGGAAAACUGGGGGCAAAGCUGUUCUGUCCCCAAUCUUAUAGGUAGAAUCCCCGUAGAGGGGAGGUAGCAGAUAUUGUUGCUAUAAAAA
Canis lupus familiaris (dog) is the source of this 457-nucleotide long non-coding RNA. RefSeq lists it as uncharacterized. Lineage: Eukaryota; Metazoa; Chordata; Mammalia; Carnivora; Canidae. The record is from RefSeq and is a predicted model, not a curated record. The transcript has 3 exons.